Molecule: transfer RNA, 73 nt
Filed under: Candidatus Nanosalina sp. J07AB43
Lineage: Archaea; Methanobacteriati; Methanobacteriota; Candidatus Nanohaloarchaea
Rfam family: tRNA
About the family: Transfer RNA (tRNA) molecules are approximately 80 nucleotides in length. Their secondary structure includes four short double-helical elements and three loops (D, anti-codon, and T loops).
Source: Rfam by way of RNAcentral
GGGUGAGUAGUCUAGCGGUUAAGACGCCGCCCUUACAAGGCGGAGAGCCGAGGUUCAAAUCCUCGUUCACCCA